AUUUGGUCCUGGGAAUUUUUUUGUUUUUGAAUUUUAUUUGGCUUACCACUGAGAGUAGAAACUCAAUUUGAAUGUGUGUGCCACUCUUCUUUAUAAUUCAGAAAAUAUUUCACUAUUUUGUUUAUUUGCUAUAAGGGCAAGGACUCUAUGAUUUUUUUCAUUAUGGUACAAGGAUAUUUUUAGGACUGAAUAGUUAUCAGAUGCAGAGGAAGGUAAUCUUGAAGCUCAAUUCCCAAAUUAAAGUGUUUUGUAUACAAUUUCUUACAUUUUUGCAGUGUUGACCUUAGGGAAUUUUCUAAGCUCACCUAUUUGAUUUCACUGAACCAUAAUAUAAUGUGCAGUUUCUUUUCUUGUAGGCCAAGAAGUGGCCACGUGAACAGUUGGGAUUUGUUUCCAUAAAAUUCCUCUCUAGUCAAACAAACAGGUCAUAGAAUAAACUAAAAAUAAAUUUGUGGAAGUCAGCAUUCAUUUAUGACUAACAAAGAAGAGAAAAAUUCCAUGAGAAAUAGCAAGUGCAGAGCUGCUUCCUUAAUAAAAAUCUACCAAUCUAUUUCAAAUUUAAACCCAGCCAUUAAUUAAAAGGGACACAUAAAAUACAUUGGCAUUAAAAUAACCUCAGAAAAAGGAAACCUGUUAUCACCCCUCUCUUUGAACAUCAUUCUUGAAGUGCUAGCCCAUGCAGACAGGGGAGAACUGAAUAACUGUGUAUAUAAGAAAGAAAAUGAAAAACUUGUCAUUUUUGGAUGAUAUAAUUGUCCACUAUGGAAGCCCAGAAGAGUCAACAGCAACUUAGUACUAGUAAGAGGUUGGUUACAAUUGGAAAUUCAUUUAUAAAAGUCAGGUAGAUAGGCAUGUCUUCUACCUGCGGGUCUGGGAAUAUAUCAGUGAGGGAGGUGGAACACAGGUUCUAGCUGGGUCUUGGGAAAGUGAGGAGGAAGCACGUGGACAAGGCAGGGCUCCAGAGGCACCAGAGGGCUCAUGGCUUCUCUUUGUUCUCGCCACCACUUUCACUGGGGCCCAGGAGCUGAGUUCCAAGACUUGGGGAAUAGUGGACUUCUGGGGCAAAGUGGCUGAUGCACCAAAACAUCUUUUAAAGAACAGAUAAAGAACAGAAGCGUACCUGGGAGAGCUGGCUGAAACCAGGACACGGUGGGACCAUUGGAAAGGACUCUAAACCACAGCAGCAGAAGGAGAGCUAGACUUGCAGGGACCCAGGCUCCACACUAGGGACCUCGACCUUGUCCUGCAGGGAGUGGAGACCCAUGAAUGGAUGUUAGGUGGGUUUGGUUUGCACAUAGCCUUGGUGUAUGUUGAUAGUGUUGUAACUGAUGACUAACCAGGCCUCACAUUUGCAGCCCACAGUGCCUUGCAUACAGGAGAUCAUCAUUCUUCUGGUCCUAUGCCAUGUGAUUGUUACUGAGGAGGAUGGAGAUGACAUCAUCUACCACGCCUCCUCCCCAGAUGAAGCUGCUUUGGUGGAAGGUGCUAAAAAGCUGGGCUUUGUACAGUGAGAACACCAUAUUCGGUCAUCAUAGAAGCAGUAAGU
RNAcentral lists this long non-coding RNA (1546 nucleotides) under Homo sapiens (human). RNAcentral describes it as "non-protein coding lnc-VSTM2B-9:22". The record is from RNAcentral. Lineage: Eukaryota; Metazoa; Chordata; Mammalia; Primates; Hominidae.